AAUCAACGCUGGCGGCGUGCCUCAGACAUGCAAGUCGAACGAUUAAAGCUCUCUUCGGAGAGUGUAUAGAGUGGCGCACGGGUGAGUAACACGUAAGUAAUCUACCUCUGAGUGGGGAAUAACGUUCGGAAACGGACGCUAAUACCGCAUAAUGCAGCGGCACCGCAAGGUGACAGUUGUUAAAGAUUUAUCGCUUAGAGAGGAGCUUGCGGCAGAUUAGCUAGUUGGUAAGGUAAUGGCUUACCAAGGCUACGAUCUGUAACCGGUCUUAGAGGACGGUCGGUCACACUGACACUGAAUAACGGGUCAGGGCUCCUACGGGAGGCAGCAGCCGGGAAUUUUUGGGCAAUGGGCGAAAGCCUGACCCAGCAACGCCGCGUGAAGGAUGAAGUAUUUCGGUAUGUAAACUUCGAAAGAAUA
RNAcentral lists this ribosomal RNA (420 nucleotides) under uncultured bacterium. RNAcentral's name for it is "bacterial SSU rRNA". It matches the Rfam family "Bacterial small subunit ribosomal RNA", at positions 32 to 442 of the family's 1533-position model. The record is from RNAcentral.